This is a long non-coding RNA of Lutzomyia longipalpis, 1616 nucleotides long. RefSeq lists it as uncharacterized. The record is from RefSeq and is a predicted model, not a curated record. NCBI's taxonomy places the organism in Eukaryota, Metazoa, Arthropoda, Insecta, Diptera, Psychodidae. The transcript has 3 exons.
ACAAUGAACCGGAGAAAUCCACCCACUGAAAUGUUUGGUUAUGGUAUCUGCGAUGUUAUUCGUUUGUGGUCUGGUGGGGGAAGCUGGGGAAACUCAAGGUUUAAUGUGAGCCUCUUGGAAUAGAGCCUUGAAUCCUCUGAAUCAGUGCAUAAGGAAGCAUAAGGAUUAACCCGUUUGUGGUUAUGUUUAUUUUUCAGAUUUAUUCCUGAGCGAAGGUACAGUUCCUGCCUAAAUCAUCAAUUAAACCUUCUAUCUCCAAACUACUAAUUCAUCUAAUAAGAAAAAAAGACUCGAGUAGGGUUGAAAGCUCUGGGAAAACUUUAGUUUUAAUAAUAAGAAAGAUGAUAUUAAUUCAUCCAACUAAUAAUAAGUAAAAACUGGUUAAUAUACCAUAAAAUCAGCGAUGGAUAAAUCGUCCUGGAACACUCUUCCUUUGGUUCUGCCGGUCCUUCAUAUUUCAGCGUAAUAAUUAAAAACAAAUCAAGUGCGCAGCAACAGCUAACACGAUAUAUUUCCACCGAAUUCUUUUACAACGAUUCCCGUUCGAAUAAAUAUGAUAAUUUAUGGCGGACCAUGUCCUCUAUUUGGCUUUGCCUUGGGCAGCAACACUCUCCAUGGCCUUCCGGACUGUCUCUUCAUCCCCGAGGAAUUUCAUCGACACCACAGGCUUCAGAUUAUCAUCGAGUUCGUACACGAAGGGGAUACCAGUUGGAAGAUUAAGUUCCAUGAUAGCUGCAUCGCUCAUAUCUACAAGAAACAAAAAGCUGGAGUUUGAAAAGCCUGGAAUAUUUGUAAGGGGAGGAUGACUCACUGUCUAGAUGCUUCACAAUGCCGCGCAAGCUGUUUCCAUGGGCAGCAAUGAUGAUCUUCUUACCCUCCUUCAUCUGUGGAACAAUUGUGCUAUUCCAGUAUGGGAGGGUUCGUUCAAUGGUGAGCUUCAGUGAUUCAAACAUCGGGAAUUCUCCGGGUUUUGGAUCACCAGCAUAGCGAGGAUCCUUGACGAUCUUGUCGUAGUAUGCAUGAUCGGGCUCCAUUGGCGGUGGGGGAACGUCAAAGCUACGGCGCCAGAUCUGCACCUGUUGCUCACCGUAUUUAGCUGCAGUUUCAGCCUUAUUGAGCCCCGUGAGACCACCGUAGUGGCGCUCAUUGAGACGCCAGGUCUUCUCAAUGGGGAUACCCGUCUGACCGCUUUCCUGCAGAAUUGACGCCAAGGUGACUUGAGCACGUGUCAGGAGGGACGUAUGGGCAACAUCGAAUGUCAAUCCAGCUUCCUUGAUGGCCUUCCCAGCAGCUUUCGCCUCAUCCUUUCCCUUGUCACUGAGAUCAGCAUCGAACCAGCCACAGAAGAGAUUCUUCUGAUUCCACUCUGACUCACCAUGGCGCACCAUCACAAUCUUGUACUUCCCGGCCAUUCUGGAGACACUUCUCACUGCCCGAAUUGUUGAGAAAGGAUUGACUCUGGGAAUGCCGGAAUUUCAAGCAAAUUUUUCCGUCAGUAAUGACCUAUGACGUCACACAAGGUCGCAAGACUCUACUGGGAAAACUUGGAAAUAGAAAUCACAACAAAUUUUUUUAGCAGUGUACUGAAAUUUAUAAUAAAAGAAUUUUAAAGAUUU